This 1560-nucleotide unclassified non-coding RNA is filed under the name Octopus sinensis (East Asian common octopus). RNAcentral's name for it is "uncharacterized LOC115229616, transcript variant X1". The record is from RNAcentral. Lineage: Eukaryota; Metazoa; Mollusca; Cephalopoda; Octopoda; Octopodidae.
UAUGUAUAUAAGCCAAUGUAUAAUUUCCUUCCUAUAAUUGAUGCCGUCUAUUUUGUAGCUAUCUAUGUUAUGCAGAACGAUACAGUCCUACCAUAUAACCCCAUUCCAAAAACUAACAAGACAAAAGAACAAGUUGUGGAUGUCACCCAAACUACUCAGUCCAACUCGGGUACAAUAAUCACGGUGAGUGUCCAGUGUGGUGUGGUCACUGUGUAUGGUGCGUAUAACAACAGUCAGCCUAGUUUGGCCAGUUACGACUACAUGACCAGUGCAACUGACAUGAAACCGGGUAAUUUAUACCUAGUUAAACAAACAUUAUCCUCUACGUUAUACCUGACGAUAAUUUCCAGGAGACGAUUUGAUCUCAAAAUCUCGGCUUGCAACAAUCCUCAAUACAACGUCAGUUUCGAUGCAACAGAUCCCACUAUAAGAGUGACCUGCCGUCAAAAUAACAAAGAAGUAUUAUGUAGCUCCGAUGAUCUGAAAGACAUACUCGGAAAAAAUAUACCAUAUCCAUGCACGAAGGAAAAUCGCAUAAAGGGGCUAUACGUUUUCCCCUACCCUAACAAACCUGAGAAGUACCUUGAAUGUGGCUCCCAAGGGAAGCUGACCAUCGUCUUGUGUCCGAAAAAUCAAACUUUUGAUGCAACACUGAAGACAUGUAAACACACUGUGACGGCGCCGGCCCUACCAGGCAUCGCUCUGAAGCCCUAUCCUUGCAUCAUUUUCUCUCGGAAAUAUCAUUUUACUCACCCGACGGAUAUUUCAAAAUUCAUACUCUGUGAUCUAAGGGGCAAGGGUCGCGUGGUAGAUUGUCCGGAAACACUAUACUGGCAUCCAGGCAUUGUGGGAUGUGUCUUUACUCCAUUCAGUCAUGUUUGUGGUGCUAACACUUCAGGAAUGCUUCAACCUCACCCAUUCAGUCGUUCCCAUUUCAUAGUGUGUGGCAGCUGCACAAAUUAUCAAAUAAGGAAAUGCGAAUACAACAAAAAAUGGAAUCAAAGCCUGAGCAAAUGUGUUUAUACUUCACCGUUUUGAAUGAAGAAUGGAAUUUCUUAAAUCUCUUUUGAUAGAAUUUUAAUGAAUAAAUGAUUUGCCACACUUUCUUCUCAUUUUCGAAUUAUGCUAUGAAAGAUCAGUUGUGCUUCUAGAGGACUAAACUAGCACACACACACACACACAAACAUACCUGCACACACAAACGUACUUGCACACAUGAACGUACACACAUACACACACACACACAUGUACAUAAACACACAUUCAUGCAUAUACAUACACAGGUACAUAUACGCACACACAUGCAUACACACAAACACACAUAUGCAUACCCUUACAUAUAUACACAUCAGAAGCAGAAAUUAUUGUUUCUUUCUUUUCGUCUUUUACAGCCCAACACAACAAAUCCCUCUAAUUACUUAAUUAAGCAAUAAAGAUUUUAUACACUGCUUUCAAUUAAUCACUAAUAAGCCCCCUCCUAAUUACAACUACGUAUAUUUCAUGAUUAUAUUUUUAUAUGCUUUUAUGUAAUUUUACUCAAUUUCGUUGCAAUAAAAUAAA